This is a non-coding RNA of Pelobates cultripes (western spadefoot toad), 328 nucleotides long. The record is from the annotation of a GenBank genome assembly. NCBI's taxonomy places the organism in Eukaryota, Metazoa, Chordata, Amphibia, Anura, Pelobatidae.
CUUACACACACUCAACACACCCCUUACAGACACACACACUGCAUUCCUUACAUACACAGAAACACACUUUGCUUCCCUUAUGCAUACAAACACAGAUUCACACAAUGCAUCCCUUACACACAAUACAUCCCUUAUACACAAACACUCACUGCUUUCUAUCCCUUACACACAAACACACUGCAUCACCUACACAAACUGGUAUCCCUAUACACUACAUUCCGUAAGCACACACAUUAGAUCCUCUACAGUAACACAUAACACAUCCCCUACACACUCUACUCCCUGUGAGUUCAUGGGUGGAACAUGUAGGUGGCCUUAUGGGUGGGCU